This 206-nucleotide ribosomal RNA is filed under the name uncultured bacterium. RNAcentral's name for it is "partial 16S ribosomal RNA". It matches the Rfam family "Bacterial small subunit ribosomal RNA", at positions 568 to 774 of the family's 1533-position model. The record is from RNAcentral.
CGCGUAGGCGGCUUCAUAAGUCAGGGGUGAAAUCCGGCAGCUUAACUGUCGCAGUGCCUUUGAUACUGUGGAGCUCGAGGGAGGUAGGGGUCUGUGGAACUUCCGGUGGAGCGGUGAAAUGCGUUGAUAUCGGAAGGAACGCCGGUGGCGAAAGCGACGGACUGGAUCUCUUCUGACGCUGAGGCGCGAAAGCCAGGGAGCAAACG